ACUCAAAUGAAUUGACGGGGGCCCGCACAAGCGGUGGAGCAUGUGGCUCAAUUCGACGCUACGCGAAGAACCUUACCAGGUCUUGACAUCCCCUGACAGCCCCGGAAACGGGGUCUUCCGCAAGGACAGGGUGACAGGUGGUGCAUGGCUGUCGUCAGCUCGUGUCGUGAGAUGUUGGGUUAAGUCCCGCAACGAGCGCAACCCUCAUCGUUACUUACCAGCGGGUCAAGCCGGGGACUGUAGCGAAACUGCCCGUGUAAACGGGAGGAAGGUGGGGAUGAUGUCAAGUCCGCAUGCCCCUUACGACCUGGGCUGCACACAUGCUACAAUGGCCGGCACAAAGGGCCGCGAUACUGCGAGGUGGAGCGAAUCCCAAAAAACCGGUCUCAGUUCGGAUUGAAGGCUGCAACUCGCCUUCAUGAAGUUGGAAUCGCUAGUAACCGCCGGUCAGCAACACGGCGGUGAAUACGUUCCCGGGCCUUGUACACACCGCCCGU
RNAcentral lists this ribosomal RNA (497 nucleotides) under uncultured bacterium. RNAcentral's name for it is "partial 16S ribosomal RNA". It matches the Rfam family "Bacterial small subunit ribosomal RNA", at positions 899 to 1397 of the family's 1533-position model. The record is from RNAcentral.